Molecule: long non-coding RNA, 1274 nt
Organism: Thalassophryne amazonica
Lineage: Eukaryota; Metazoa; Chordata; Actinopteri; Batrachoidiformes; Batrachoididae
Exons: 2
Source: RefSeq, a predicted model, not a curated record
UCCCGUAUUUAAGAGAAAAAAAUAAUAAACCCAGAGGGUCAUAUUUAUUUAGAGGUUUCUGGGUGUUGCGCCUCUUCGCUCACGAACUGAGGCAGUGAUUCACUUUUGUUUGUACAGCUAUAAAAGCACCGAGCUAUUGAAAAGUCAUAAAACGAAGCGCGCAAUCCAUCAUCCCGUAACGUGCGCCAUCAUCACGCCAUCCUGCAACGUGCGGAGAAAAAAAAAAAGGGGGAAGCUGAAUUACUGCCACGAUUAACUUCAACUUGUUAUGAAUCAAACAAAAGUGUUUAAAAAUCAUAAUUAAAGAAGACAAAAUAUGAACAUGUUAUUUCCAGCCUUUAGCCGUCUGAAGAAUUAAUCCAGGUCCUGGGAUGUGAGGAACGCAGAGGACACGGAAUUAUCUCCAAGUGCGCAUUUUCUGUUUCUCCAGCCGGCGCAGAAUCUCCUCCGGAACCAGGCGCAUACGCCUUUGCGCGUCCCGUGUCCGUGCGCCGGCGCGCCUUCUCGGGAAAGACGAGUGGAGCCUGGAACGGUUGAAGACCCCGAGACGCGCCCCGGGGUUCACGCUCGGGCGCCUCCUUUGUGCCAUUCCCCCCCACAAACCACCUAAUAAAUAAAGGCGCUUUCUCCAAACGUGCCGGCUGCAAAGCGCCUCAUUUAUUUUUUCAUUUGACGGUGACAAGCCUCCGUCGUGCUUAAUUGGGUGUAAUGACGGUUUGUUCUGCCACAAGAAGGUGAAUUUGUGUUUAUUUAAGAACUUUUUUCCUCAUCCGACUGAAAACGAAGCCCUUUAUUUUCGAUAUCUGCAGCAAAAUCCAAAUAUUUUUGGUGUCACUGAUAUUAAAGUGGCCAUUUUUUAAUUAAAUGCAUGUUAAAAAAUAUAUAUUUGUAAUUUUCCUCCACGUGCUGCAGAUUAUUGCAGUUUUGACGCUGGAUUUAUAAAAGCGUUGAAUUAUAGUAAAUUUAUUGUGCGCUAUUAGGAAUUCGUUCAUUCCGUGUUGUAAAAAUCCCCACAGAAUCAUCCAUGAACAAACAACAAUAAUAAUAAAUUGAAGGAUGUCUGCGUGAAUAAACCCGGCUGCCGGUUCGUCGGAAGCACGGGCGCAGCGUGCACAAUUAAACAAAUAUUGCUCUUCCACACAGAUAUUAAAUCAGCUUAUUUUAUUGGAUGUAAUUUGCGGGAGAAAUCAAAGCCAAUUAUAUGAAUGAGGAGGAAUGAACUUGUGGAUGUGGAGGGUGGAGGUCUGCAAAAAGGGGGGGAAAAAAAAAAAAAA